Molecule: ribosomal RNA, 253 nt
Filed under: uncultured bacterium
Lineage: Bacteria
Description: partial 16S ribosomal RNA
Rfam family: Bacterial small subunit ribosomal RNA
Source: RNAcentral
UACGAAGGGUGCAAGCGUUACUCGGAAUUACUGGGCGUAAAGCGUGCGUAGGUGGUGAGUUAAGUCUGUCGUGAAAGCCCCGGGCUCAACCUGGGAAUGGCGAUGGAUACUGGCUCGCUAGAGUGCGGUAGAGGAGAGUGGAAUUCCCGGUGUAGCAGUGAAAUGCGUAGAGAUCGGGAGGAACAUCAGUUGCGAAGGCGGCUCUCUGGACCAGCACUGACACUGAGGUGCGAAAGCGUGGGGAGCAAACAGG